Molecule: non-coding RNA, 845 nt
Organism: Peromyscus maniculatus bairdii (prairie deer mouse)
Lineage: Eukaryota; Metazoa; Chordata; Mammalia; Rodentia; Cricetidae
Source: RefSeq, a predicted model, not a curated record
UACAUGCACACACAUAAAGAAAAAUAAAUACGAUUUUAAGAAAAGUGAAAUUAGGGUAAUUAUCAUUAACCAUGGCUGUAUAACUUUCUCAUCAUCCUGAAAGACAAAAGCAUAGUAUUACCCCCAGUUGUGAGCUGAACCGGCAAAGGUCUCAGGAUCAUGUGGCUGGCAUUGAAGAGCGUUCUAUUCACUCCUUGGCCUGAUUGUGACAUCGUGAGCCCCCUUGUCCCCCACCCGCUGCCUGUGUCCUUUGUGUGCACACAUGUGAAUAACACAUACGCACUUGAGUAAGCAGCCAGCCAGAAGUGCCAGCUUCCUUCGUAUUGUCAAGUGGCUACAGUUGCCCCUGGGAAUGGCAAGAACAGGGCAGGCUGGAGAUUUUGGACACAGGAGGAUUGUGCCUGAAGGACAGGGGAGGGGGACAUGAAGGGACACCGACUUCGCAGAUGGUAGACAUAGAAGCUGCACAGGGAGAGGAAUGUGUCUGGCUGACCCAGGGUCCAGGCUAAGCCCAACAACAAAAGCUUCAUGAGAGACUCUUGUCCCGUGACACAACAUUACGUAGCCACCAAUAAGAAUGCAGUGAAGUUCUGCCAGGAAGAUAUUCAUGUGUUGAUGACAAAAACCUGCUUGGAGUCUGCUGUGACUGUUGCUGGCCUGUGCAUCACCUUAUGGAGUCCGAACAAAUUACCUGACAGUGCUUCCAGGCGCGUCCACUGGGGGAGAGUGAACCUGGUUCUCGCUCUGCAGAGGUCUGUUUCCUGCUGCCUUGAGUAUCAUAUGUACCUCUCCCAGCUGCUGUAGCUUUUUUCUCUAAAAUGGAGACAAUCACGUCUGUCCUGACA